Molecule: long non-coding RNA, 824 nt
Organism: Panthera uncia (snow leopard)
Lineage: Eukaryota; Metazoa; Chordata; Mammalia; Carnivora; Felidae
Exons: 4
Source: RefSeq, a predicted model, not a curated record
CCGCCGCGCAGCCAAUCCGCGGGCCCCACCUCGAUCCCGCCAGCCAAUCGAGGCAGGGGGCGGAGCCACCCGUAAGAUAGGCGUUGCGGUGGGAAGGGAAAACCCAGCAGGCUCUGUUCGCGAGAUCUGGGCUCUAGGCUCACGGCAAGGAAACCAGGGCCCCCACUCCUGGUUGCAGCGUACCUGCGUGCACACUUUAGCAAAUAUUCCCGAAGAGGGGGUGGGGAGGUGACGGCUGCCUUGGGCGUGGGGAGAGUGAGCCCUGCGGUGUAAUGGAAAAAACGGAUUCUGGAGGUGGACUUACUGAGGCAAACAUGACUGUUCCCUGGGUUGCUCCUGAAGUCAGCCUUCUGGAAAGUUCCUCUGAGGAAGAAGUGAAUUGUUGAUCCACCCAAGUUUCCCAACCCCAGCCGCCAAGGACCUGGUGGCACUGGUCAGGAGUCCUCAUGCUGGUGAGGAGUGGGGACUAGCGUCUUACACAAUGCUUCUGCAUUCCUGUCAGAAGAGGCCAGCACUCUUGGGCUUGGAUUCCUGGAGCAGAAUGAGAAAACUAAAGAUGCAAUCAAGACAUUCCAACAUAUUACACAGGGAGAGAGCAGCUGCUGUGGCUGGAGGGCAGGUGUGAGGAAGAGACCCACUCCACCUACGCCCCGCACAAGCAAGGUGAGACCAGCCAUCCAGCCCAACACAGCUCCCACCCAGCUUAGACAGUUGAUAACUCACAUUGACUGCAAAAGCUGGAAGCAAACCUGCUCAGUGAGGGUCUCCUUCAGAUGGGAGACAACUCCAGAAAUAGGGUCCACUCUGUGGCCUCAUCACCAAAA